RNAcentral lists this ribosomal RNA (253 nucleotides) under uncultured bacterium. Its description in RNAcentral is "partial 16S ribosomal RNA". It matches the Rfam family "Bacterial small subunit ribosomal RNA", at positions 524 to 776 of the family's 1533-position model. The record is from RNAcentral.
UACGGGGGGGGCAAGCGUUGUUCGGAAUUACUGGGCGUAAAGGGCGCGUAGGCGGCCUUCUAAGUCGGACGUGAAAUCCCUCGGCUUAACCGAGGAACUGCGUCUGAUACUGGAAGGCUUGAAUCCGGGAGAGGGAUGUGGAAUUCCAGGUGUAGCGGUGAAAUGCGUAGAUAUCUGGAGGAACACCGGUGGCGAAGGCGGCAUCCUGGACCGGCAUUGACGCUGAGGCGCGAAAGCUAGGGGAGCAAACGGG